Molecule: ribosomal RNA, 1242 nt
Filed under: metagenome
Description: bacterial LSU rRNA
Rfam family: Bacterial large subunit ribosomal RNA
Source: RNAcentral
UGAGUACGAGAUGCUACGGCAUCGAAGCAGUCUAUGUCAUACUUCCAAGAAAAGCUUGCACUGUCAUAAACAAAGAAUGCCUGUACCAUAACCGACACAGGUGGGUAGGUAGAGUAUACUAAGGGGCGCGAGAUAACUCUCUCUAAGGAACUCGGCAAAAUGACUCCGUAACUUCGGGAGAAGGAGUGCCUUAUUUAUAAGGUUGCAAUAACAAGAUCCAAGCAACUAUUUACCAAAAACACAGGUCUCCGCGAAGUCGUAAGACGAUGUACGGGGGCUGACGCCUGCCCAGUGCCAGAAGGUUAAAGAAGUUGGUUAGCAUUCGCGAAGCUGAUAACUGAAGCCCUGGUGAACGGCGGCCGUAACAAUAACGGUCCUAAGGUAGCGAAAUUCCUUGUCGGGUAAGUUCCGACCCGCACGAAAGGCGUAAUGAUUUGGAUACUGUCUCGGAGAGGGGCUCGGUGAAAUAGACUUGUCUGUGAAGAUGCGGACUACCUGCACCUGGACAGAAAGACCCUAUGAAGCUUUACUGUAACUUGAAAUUGAAAUUGGACUUUAUUUGCGCAGUUUAGGUGGGAGGCGUUGAGAAUAACCUUGCGGGGUUAUCGGAGCCAUCAGUGAGAUACCACUCUUGUAAUGUUAGAUUUCUAACUUUGUAUCAUUAUCUGGUCAAAGAACAGUUUCAGGCGGGCAGUUUGACUGGGGCGGUCGCCUCCCAAACGGUAACGGAGGCGCACAAAGGUUUCCUCUGAACGGGUAGAAAUCGUAUCUAGAGUGUAAAGGCAUAAGGAAGCUUGACUGUGAGACCUACAAGUCGAGCAGGGACGAAAGUCGGUCUUAGUGAUCUGACGGUGCUGAGUGGAAAGGCCGUCACUCAACGGAUAAAAGUUACUCUAAGGAUAACAGGCUGAUCUCCCCCAAGAGUUCACAUCGACGGGGAGGUUUGGCACCUCGAUGUCGGCUCAUCGCAUCCUGGGGCGGUAGUACGUCCCAAGGGUUGGGCUGUUCGCCCAUGAAAGCGGUACGCGAGCUGGGUUCAGAACGUCGUGAGACAGUUCGGUCCAUAUCCGGUGUAGGCGUUAGAAUAUUGAGAGGAGCCUUCUCUAGUACGAGAGGACCGAGAAGGACAUACCUCUGGUGUACCAGUUAUCGUGCCAACGGUAAACGCUGGGUAGCUAUGUGUGGAGUGGAUAACCGCUGAAAGCAUCUAAGUGGGAAGCCCACCUCAAGAUAAGUAUUCUC